Molecule: ribosomal RNA, 497 nt
Filed under: uncultured bacterium
Lineage: Bacteria
Description: partial 16S ribosomal RNA
Rfam family: Bacterial small subunit ribosomal RNA
Source: RNAcentral
GAUGAACGCUGGCGGCGUGCCUAAUACAUGCAAGUCGAGCGAACGGACGAGAAGCUUGCUUUUCUGAUUUUAGCGGCGGACGGGUGAGUAACACGUGGAUAACCUACCUAUAAGACUGGGAUAACUUCGGGAAACCGGAGCUAAUACCGGAUAAUAUUUUGCACCGCAUGGUUCAAAAGUGAAAGACGGUCUUGCUGUCACUUAUAGAUUGAUCCGCGCUGAAUUAAGUAGUUGGUAAGGUAACGGCUUAGCAAGGCAACGAUGCAUAGCCGACCUGAGAGCGUGAUCGGCCACACUGGAACUGAGACACGGUCCAGACACUUACGGGAGGCAGCAGUAGGGAAUCUUCCGCGAUGCGCGAGAGCCUGACGGAGCAACGCCGCGUGAGUGAUGAAGGUCUUCGGAUCCUAAAACUCUGUUAUUAGGGGAGAACAAAUGUGUAAGUAACUGUGCACAUAAUGACGGUACCUAGUCAGAAAGCCACGGCUAACUACGUG